AUUGAACGCUGGCGGCAGGCCUAACACAUGCAAGUCGAGCGGAUGACGGGAGCUUGCUCCUUGAUUCAGCGGCGGACGGGUGAGUAAUGCCUAGGAAUCUGCCUGGUAGUGGGGGACAACGUUUCGAAAGGAACGCUAAUACCGCAUACGUCCUACGGGAGAAAGCAGGGGACCUUCGGGCCUUGCGCUAUCAGAUGAGCCUAGGUCGGAUUAGCUAGUUGGUGGGGUAAUGGCUCACCAAGGCGACGAUCCGUAACUGGUCUGAGAGGAUGAGCAGUCACACUGGAACUGAGACACGGUCCAGACUCCUACGGGAGGCAGCAGUGGGGAAUAUCGGACAAUGGGCGAAAGCCUGAGCCAGCCAUGCCGCGUGUGUGAAGAAGGUCUUCGGAUUGUAAAGCACUUUAAGUUGGGAGGAAGGGCAGUAAGUUAAUACCUUGCUGUUUUGACGUUACCGACAGAAUAGGCACCGGCUAACUCUGUGCCAGCAGCCGCGGUAA
This 500-nucleotide ribosomal RNA is filed under the name uncultured bacterium. RNAcentral's name for it is "partial 16S ribosomal RNA". It matches the Rfam family "Bacterial small subunit ribosomal RNA", at positions 30 to 523 of the family's 1533-position model. The record is from RNAcentral.